This 45-nucleotide non-coding RNA is filed under the name Schistosoma mansoni. Lineage: Eukaryota; Metazoa; Platyhelminthes; Trematoda; Strigeidida; Schistosomatidae. The record is from RNAcentral.
GUCUAGCUGACAAGACCCAGAUAAGACGAAACGCGCGUCCUGGAU